This 998-nucleotide ribosomal RNA is filed under the name Pantoea allii. Its description in RNAcentral is "bacterial SSU rRNA". It matches the Rfam family "Bacterial small subunit ribosomal RNA", at positions 45 to 1019 of the family's 1533-position model. Lineage: Bacteria; Pseudomonadati; Pseudomonadota; Gammaproteobacteria; Enterobacterales; Erwiniaceae. The record is from RNAcentral.
GGCAGCUACACAUGCAGUCGGACGGUAGCACAGAGGACUUGCCCCUUGGGUGACGAGUGGCGGACGGGUGAGUAAUGUCUGGGGAUCGGCCCGAUAGAGGGGGAUAACCACUGGAAACGGUGGCUAAUACCGCAUAACGUCGCAAGACCAAAGAGGGGGACCUUCGGGCCUCUCACUAUCGGAUGAACCCAGAUGGGAUUAGCUAGUAGGCGGGGUAAUGGCCCACCUAGGCGACGAUCCCUAGCUGGUCUGAGAGGAUGACCAGCCACACUGGAACUGAGACACGGUCCAGACUCCUACGGGAGGCAGCAGUGGGGAAUAUUGCACAAUGGGCGCAAGCCUGAUGCAGCCAUGCCGCGUGUAUGAAGAAGGCCUUCGGGUUGUAAAGUACUUUCAGCGGGGAGGAGGGCAGUGAGGUUAAUAACCUCACAGAUUGACGUUACCCGCAGAAGAAGCACCGGCUAACUCCGUGCCAGCAGCCGCGGUAAUACGGAGGGUGCAAGCGUUAAUCGGAAUUACUGGGCGUAAAGCGCACGCACGCGGUCUGUUAAGUCAGAUGUGAAAUCCCCGGGCUUAACCUGGGAACUGCAUUUGACACUGGCACGCUUGAGUCUCGUAGAGGGGGGUAGAAUUCCGUGUGUAGCGGUGAAAUGCGUAGAGAUCUGGAAGAAUACCGGUGGCGAACGCGGCCCCCUGGACGAAGACUGACGCUCAUGUGCGAAAGCGUGGGGAGCAAACAAGAUUAGAUACCCUGGUAGUCCACGCCGUAAACGAUGUCGACUUGGGAGGUUGUUCCCUUGAAGAGUGGCUUCCAGAGCUAACGCGUUAAGUCGACCGUCUGGGAGAGUACCGCCGCAAUGUUUAAAAACUCAAAAUAAUUUGACGGGGGCGCCGCACAACAGCUGGUGGAAGCAAUGUGUUAUAAUCUCGAUGCAACGCGAAGAACUCUAUCCCUACUCUUGACAAUCCAGAAGAACUUUAGCAGAAGAGGCUUGUGG